Molecule: ribosomal RNA, 495 nt
Filed under: uncultured bacterium
Lineage: Bacteria
Description: partial 16S ribosomal RNA
Rfam family: Bacterial small subunit ribosomal RNA
Source: RNAcentral
GACGAACGCUGGCGGCGUGCCUAAUACAUGCAAGUAGAACGCUGAAGGAGGAGCUUGCUUCUCUGGAUGAGUUGCGAACGGGUGAGUAACGCGUAGGUAACCUGCCUGGUAGCGGGGGAUAACUAUUGGAAACGAUAGCUAAUACCGCAUAAGAGUAGAUGUUGCAUGACAUUUGCUUAAAAGGUGCAAUUGCAUCACUACCAGAUGGACCUGCGUUGUAUUAGCUAGUUGGUGGGGUAACGGCUUACCAAGGCGACGAUACAUAGCCGACCUGAGAGGGUGAUCGGCCACACUGGGACUGAGACACGGCCCAGACUCCUACGGGAGGCAGCAGUAGGGAAUCUUCGGCAAUGGACGGAAGUCUGACCGAGCAACGCCGCGUGAGUGAAGAAGGGUGUCGGAUCGUAAAGCUCUGUUGUAAGAGAAGAACGAGUGUGAGAGUGGAAAGUUCACACUGUGACGGUAGCUUACCAGAAAGGGACGGCUAACUACGUG